GGGCCGUUAGCUCAAUUGGCAGAGCAUCGGACUUUUAAUCCGUUGGUUGUGGGUUCGAGUCCCACACGGCCCA
This 73-nucleotide transfer RNA is filed under the name Streptomyces liangshanensis. It matches the Rfam family "tRNA". From Rfam's summary of the family: Transfer RNA (tRNA) molecules are approximately 80 nucleotides in length. Their secondary structure includes four short double-helical elements and three loops (D, anti-codon, and T loops). Further hydrogen bonds mediate the characteristic L-shaped molecular structure. tRNAs have two regions of fundamental functional importance: the anti-codon, which is responsible for specific mRNA codon recognition, and the 3' end, to which the tRNAs corresponding amino acid is attached (by aminoacyl-tRNA synthetases). tRNAs cope with the degeneracy of the genetic code in two manners: having more than one tRNA (with a specific anti-codon) for a particular amino acid; and 'wobble' base-pairing, i.e. permitting non-standard base-pairing at the 3rd anti-codon position. The record is from Rfam by way of RNAcentral. Lineage: Bacteria; Bacillati; Actinomycetota; Actinomycetes; Kitasatosporales; Streptomycetaceae.